RNAcentral lists this ribosomal RNA (458 nucleotides) under uncultured bacterium. Its description in RNAcentral is "partial 16S ribosomal RNA". It matches the Rfam family "Bacterial small subunit ribosomal RNA", at positions 338 to 795 of the family's 1533-position model. The record is from RNAcentral.
CCUACGGGAGGCUGCAGUGGGGAAUAUUGCACAAUGGGGGAAACCCUGAUGCAGCGACGCCGCGUGCGUGAAGAAGUAUUUCGGUAUGUAAAACUCUAUCAGCAGGGAAGAAAUAGCGACCUUUGGGUCGCCAGACGGUACCUGAUUAAGAAGCGCCGGCUAACUACGUGCCAGCAGCCGCGGUGAUACGUAGGGGGCAAGCGUUAUCCGGAUUUACUGGGUGUAAAGGGGGCGUAGACGGCGGGGUAAGUCAGAAGUGAAAUGUCGGGGCUUAACCCCGGAACUGCGUUGGAAACUGUGGAGCUAGAGUGCAGUAGAGGUAAGUGGAAUUCCUAGUGUAGCGGUGAAAUGCGUAGAUAUUAGGAGGAACACCAGUGGCGAAGGCGGCUUACUGGACUGUAACUGACGUUGAGGCUCGAAAGCGUGGGGAGCAAACAGGAUUAGAUACCCGAGUAGUC